Long non-coding RNA from Prunus persica (peach), 759 nucleotides. RefSeq lists it as uncharacterized. Lineage: Eukaryota; Viridiplantae; Streptophyta; Magnoliopsida; Rosales; Rosaceae. The record is from RefSeq and is a predicted model, not a curated record. The transcript has 2 exons.
CAAAAAAUGAGGCCUCUUACACACCUCUAGUCCAGUAAGUAUACUAGCAGAAAAGGCCUUUUAUGUGUGAAACUAAUACUUUUUUGGGCAUUUUUCUUUUUCAUAUAAUGGGCAUUUUUUUUUUAAUAAUUAAACUAACCUACUUACCACCUAGGUUUGAAACUUUUUAUUAUAAUUUUUGUUCAAAAUAAGUUAAGUGUUAAACAAAAAAGGCCUCAUUUUCAUUUUUGCCAAGGGCCUCCAAAAUCAAUGGACCAACAUAUCACGUGCGUGGUAUGAGAGGAACGAGAAAAAGAUUUCGUUUGUAGUAAUCUCUCUUCUCGUUCCUCUCAUACCACACUCAUACCUCUAUAAAAAACUUCUCGAACUCCCCAGUCUUCUUUGAUCUCUCAGCCAAAAAUUCACCACAUUUUUUUUUUCUGAUCUUGGUAUAUGUAAGUUCUCUAAAGAUUUGCAAUGUAUCAUCCUCUUUGGAGUAAGUUUCGGAAAGAUUUGCAGAAUUUUUUUCUUUAUUUUUUGUUAAACCUUGCUUGUAUACAAAAGAGAAAGGCCUCAUUUUAAUUUAUGUUUUUCGUCAUAAGGUGUGGACAUAUUCUUUUCCAAGCAUCUAUUCAAAGGUUUUAUUUUAUAUUUUGAUGUAGUGUGGUGUAAACUUGUAUACAUUAACACUGAAAUGAAAUUAUUGGCAAAAAGAAAAUGCGGCAUUGAAAGGAAGAAAUCAAUUAUGUUAUUAUAUUGAAUUAAAUACUUUUUCGUGAA